GAUGAACGCUGGCUACAGGCUUAACACAUGCAAGUCGAGGGGAAACGACGGGGAAGCUUGCUUCCCCGGGCGUCGACCGGCGCACGGGUGAGUAACGCGUAUCCAACCUGCCUCUGACUGAGGGAUAACCCGUCGAAAGUCGGCCUAAUACCUCAUGGCAUCGUCUGCGGGCAUCCAACGACGAUUAAAGAUUUCAUCGGUCAGGGAUGGGGAUGCGUCUGAUUAGCUUGUUGGCGGGGUAACGGCCCACCAAGGCUACGAUCAGUAGGGGUUCUGAGAGGAAGGUCCCCCACAUUGGAACGGAGACACGGUCCAAACUCCUACGGGAGGCAGCAGUGAGGAAUAUUGGUCAAUGGGCGGGAGCCUGAACCAGCCAAGUAGCGUGCAGGAUGACGGCCCUAUGGGUUGUAAACUGCUUUUAUGCGGGGAUAAAGUGAGGGACGUGUCCUUCAUUGCAGGUACCGCAUGAAUAAGGACCGGCUAAUUCCGUG
This 491-nucleotide ribosomal RNA is filed under the name uncultured bacterium. Its description in RNAcentral is "partial 16S ribosomal RNA". It matches the Rfam family "Bacterial small subunit ribosomal RNA", at positions 28 to 507 of the family's 1533-position model. The record is from RNAcentral.